Long non-coding RNA from Oncorhynchus tshawytscha (Chinook salmon), 5416 nucleotides. The record is from Ensembl. Lineage: Eukaryota; Metazoa; Chordata; Actinopteri; Salmoniformes; Salmonidae.
AUUGAGUACUUUUUCCACCACUGUAUUUAACUAUUGAAGGUGUAAUGUUGGGUAAUAAUUUACUUGAAUUGUACAUCAUAACAGAGACAUGACAUUGUCAUGAACAUGUCAUCUGAUGUUGAAUGUCAAUUUUGUCUGCAGGUUUGUGCCAUACAUCGGAAUCGUUACCAUUCUGAUGAAUGACUAUCCCAAAUUUAAGUACGCUGUUCUCUUCCUGCUGGGUCUGUUUGUCCUGGUCCAUCGGGAGUGAGGAAGAGAAUACCUAACUAUCUACCACGGAGGAAGAAUUGUAAAUCCCCACCCCACCAUGCCUUUCAAGACAGAAUUAUGUUGAUUAUGUCAAAUUAAGUUGCUUUUUCUCUACCAUGUGUUUUGAAUUGUGUCUAGAAAUGUGGAUAGUGUUUACAUUAUAUAAAAACAAGCAUUCAUUAUUUUUGUGAGGGAAAUUAGAUAUAAGUUAAGUAGAACAUGAAUCCAACAUUUUAGAUGGUUAAUUGUGUAUUUUGUUUUCACAUUUAAUUAGGUUUUGCUUUGCUUGAUAUAUUGAAUGACAAGUGAUAUGUUUGUGACAUUAAAUAUGACAUCUGUUACCCUCUAUCCUGCAAUCUGGUAACUUAUGCAUCUAGUGUUUUUUUCUUAUAAUCAAGCAUAACUUCACUAAAACACAUUUGUGCAUUUUCAAGAUGCCAUUAUUUUACAUGCAGGCUAAAUAUGACAUUUACAUUUGAGUCAUUUAGCAGACUCUUAUCCAGAGCGACUUACAGUCAGGGAGUGUGCAAUUGGCAUGCUGACUGCAGGAAUGUACACCAGAGCUGUUGCCAGAUAAUUGAAUGUUAAUAUCUCUACCACAAGUCUCCUCCAACGUUGUUGAAGAGAAUCUUCAACCGGCCUCACAACCACAUACCAAGUGUAUGGCGUUGUGUGGGCGAGCGGUUAGCUGAUGUCAACGUGAACAGAGUGCCCCAUGGUGGUUAUGGGCAGACAUAAGCUACAGACAAAAACAAUUUUAUAGAUGGCAAUUUGAAUGCACAGAGAUACUGUGACGAGAUCCUGAGGCCUAUUGUGCAAUUAAUCCGCCACCGUGACCUCAUGUUUCAGCAUGAUCAUGCAUGGCCCCAUGUAGCAAGGUUCUGUACACAAUUCCUGGAAGCUGAAAAUGUCCCAGUUCUUCUAUGGCCUGCGUACUCACCAGACAGGUCACCCGUUGAGCAUGUUUAGGAUGCUCUGGAUCGACAUGUACGACAGUGUGUUCUAAUUCCCGCCAAUAUCCAGUAACUUUGCACAGCCAUUGAAUCGGAGUGGGACAACAUUCCACAGGCCACAAUCAACUUUCUGAUCAGCUCUUUGUGAAGGCGAUGUGUCACGCUGCAUGAGGCAAACGGUGAUCAUACCAGAUAUUGGUUUUCUGAUCCACGCCCCUACCUUUUUUUUAAGGUAUCUGUGACCAACAGAUGCAGCUUUGUAUUCCCAGUUGUGAAAUCCAUAGAUUAGGGCCUAAUGAAUUUAUUUCAAUUGACUGAUUUCUUUAUAUGAUCUGGAACUUUAUAAUCUUUGAAAUUGUUUCAUGUUGUGUUUAUAUUUUGGUUCAUUAUAUAUGUGCAGUCAAAAGUUUGGACACACCUACUCAUUCAAGAUAUUUUAUUUUCUUGGGUUGAGGUUGUAAAUUGUGGAGGCCAAGUCAUCUGAUGCAGCACUCCAUCACUCUCCUUCUUGGUCAAAUAGCCCUUACACAGCCCGGAGGUGUGUUGGGUCAUUGUCCUGUUGAAAAACAAAUGAUAGUCCCACUAAGCGUAAACCAGAUGGGAUGGCGUAUCGCUGCAGAAUGCUGUGGUAGCCAUGCUAGUUAAGUGUGCCUUGAAUUCUAAAUAAAUCACUGACAGUGUCACCAGCAAACCACCAUCACACCUCCUUCAUGCUUCACGGUGGGAAACAAACAUGCAGAGAUCAUCCAGUCACCUAUUCUGCGUCUCACAAAGACACGGCGGUUAGAACCAAAAAUCUCAGAUUUGAACUCAUCAGACCAAAGGCCAGUUUUCCACCGGUCUAAUGUCCUCUGCUGGUGUUUCUUGGCCCAAGCAAGUCUCUUCUUCUUAAGAGCCAGUUUCAUCAUAGUGCUUGAUGGUUUUUGCGACUGCACUUGAAGAAAGUGUUGUUGAAAUGUUCUAGAUUGACUGACUUUCAUGUCUUAAAAUAAUGAUGUACGGUCAUUUCUCUUUGCUUAUUUGAGCUGUUCUUUCCAUAAUAUGGACUUGGUAUUUUACCAAAUAGGGCUAUCUUCUGUGUACCACCCCUACCUUGUCACAACACAACUGAUUGGCUCAAAUGCAUUAAGAAGGAAAGAAAUUCCACAAUUUAACUUUUAACAAGGCACACCUGUUAAUUGAAAUGGUUUCCAGGUGACUACCUCAUGAAGCUGGUUGAGAGAAUGCCAAGAGUGGGUAAAGCUGUCAUCAAGGCAAAGGGUGGCUACUUUGAGAACCUCAAAUAUAAAAUAUAUUUUGAUUUGUUUAACACUUUUUUGGUUAUUACAUGAUUCCAUAUGUGUCAUUUCAUAGUUUUGAUGUAUUCACUAUUAUUCUACAAUGUAGAAAAUAGUUCAAAUUAAGAAAAACCCUUGAAUGAGUAGGUGUGUCCAAACUUUUGACUGGUACUGUAUAAAUAUAUAUGUAUAUAUAUAUACUUUUUAUUUUUUACAAUAUUCUGAACCGAUGUUUGCCCUUUUGACAUACAGUGCCUUCCGAAAGUUUUCAUACCCAUUGACUUUUUGUUUUUGUUGUUCAUUUUGUUGUGUUACAGCCUGAACACACAAUUGCCCAUAAUGACAAAGAGAAAACAUGUUUUUAAAAAUGUUUGCACAUUUAUUGAAAAUACAAUACAGAAAUGUUUCAUUUACAUAAGUGUUCACACCCCUGAGUCCAUAUAUGUUAGUCACCUUUGGCAGUGAUUACAGCUGUGAGUCUUUCUGGGAAAGUCUCUAAGAGCUUUGCACACUUGGAUUGUACAAUAUUUGCACUUUAUUUUAUUAUUUUUAUUAUUCAAGCUCUGUCUAGUUGUUGUUGAUCAUAGCUAGACAGACAUAUUCAAGUCUUGCCAUAGUUUUUCAAGACGAUUUAAGUAAAAACUGUAACUAGGUCACUCAGGAACAUUCAAUGGCAUCUUGGUAAGAAACUUUAAUUCAAUGGCCUUGUGUUUUACGUUAUUGUCCCGCUGAAAGGUGAAUUUGUCUCCUGGUAUCUGUUGGAAAGCAGAGUGAACCAGGUUUUCCUCUAGGAUUUUGCCUGUGCUUGGCUCCAUCCCAUUUCUUUUUUCUCCUAAACAAACUCCCCAGUCCUUGCCGAUGACAAGCAUACCCAUAACAUGAUGCAGCCACCAGUAUGCUUGAAAAUAUGAAGAGUGGUGCUCAGUGAUGUGUUGUGUUGGAUUUGCCCUUAAAACAUAACACUUUGUAUUCAGGACAUACAAUUAAAUUAUUUGCCACAUUUGCUGUUUUACUUUAGGAUGAAUGUUUUGGGCUAUUUUAUUUAAUUCUGUGCAGACUGCAUUAUUUUCACUCUGUCAUUUAGGUUAAUAUUGUGGAGUAACUACAAUGUUGUUGAUUCGUCCUCAGUUUUCUCCUUUCACAGCCAUUAAACUCUGUAACUGUUUUAAAGUCACCAUUGGCCUUAUGGUGAAAUCGCUGAGUGGUUUCCUCCCUCUCCAGCAACUGAGUUAGGAAGUACGCCUGUAUCUUUGUAGUGACUGGGUGUAUUGAUACACCAUCCAAAGUGCAAUUAAUAACUUGACCAUGCUCAAAGGUAUUUUCAAUGUCUACUUUUGUUAUUUUUACCCAUAUACCAAUAGGUGCCCUUCUUUGCAAGGCAUUGGAAUACCUCCCUUGUCUUUGUGGUUGAAUCUGUGUUUGAAAUUCACUGCUCGACUGAGGGGCCUUACAGAUAAUUAUAUAUGAGGGUACAGAUAUGAGGUAGUCAUUAAAAAAAUCAUGUUAAACACUAUUAUUACGCACAGAGUGAGUCCAUGCAACUUAUUAUGUGACUUGUUAAGCAAAGUUUUACUCCUGAAUUUAUUUAGGCUUGCCAUACAUAACAAAAGGAUUGAAUUAUUAUUGACUCAAGGCAUUUCAGAAUUAAAUGUUUUAUGAAUUUGUAAGAAUGUCUAAAAACAUAAUUCCACUUUGACAUUAUGGGUUAUUGUGUGUAGGCCAGUGAUGCAAAAUCUCAAUUUUGUCCAUUUUAAAUUCAGGCUGUAACACAACAAAGUAUGGUCAAAGGGUGUGAAUACGGUCUGAAGACACUGUAUAUACUCUCAUGGUGGGGAGGAAGAACUAAGAAUAAACAAAGUUACUAUGAAGGAUAAAUAUUUGCCUCUUCAAAUCAAGCUUUUUAAAGCCUUGGGACGCAACCUGACAAAGGGCCUUAUUCAAUAAACACUGUACAGCAUCCAAAUAUUCUUGAGACACGGCCAAACAGUAUUCCUCCCACACCGUUAAAAUUGUUACACAAUAAUAAAAUAAAUACAACCAUAUUUUAUGCAUUAUUUAUUAACAGAUAUUAAGGCAGAUUUUGCUCACAGUCUUCAUUUGAUGGACCCUUUACAGUUUCCCUGAUGGUGUGAGUUAAAAUUCUAAUUAACCGUGGGUGGUCACAGUCUUAAAAUCAUCUUGCAUUUCUGGAGGAUGUUGCUAAUGUGGAGUGAUAGAAGGUUUGAUGGUGGUAGACUGGGAUUUUAAAGCACCGCAGUUACUGCAAUUUGUUUUACUUCACAUUCAGACAAUCUUAAAAGGAUAUGCAGUCUAGAUGUGGUUUGUUUAUACCGUUUGUUACGGAUACAGGUAUCCUGUGUCUGUGUGUAUAUGUAUCCUGUGUUGUUUUCUCUCCUUCUCCCCUCACAGGUGAAAAUCAUCACUCCCCAAUCAGUCAACAAUCAAUCAUCAAUCAGAAGACACACCUCCUCCUAUUUCCUACCCUAUCACAGUUCCUUUCCCUUGGUUUAAAAACCCUGUCAGUUGUUUGCUCUAGAGCUCAAUCUCUCUGUAAAUGCCAUGUCUGUAGGUCUCUGUGUUUCACUCUCUCGUUGUGUAUUAACCUCUCUUUUGUUUGACCACCUCCAUAGCACUUUGUCAUCACCUGUGAGUAUUGUUUUGGUUAUGGUGUUUGUUUGCUGGUGGGAAAAGGGGAAACCAAGACAAGUCGCCCAUGGGCAUACACUACCCGUAGGUAGACUGUUAAAUACACUAGUUAGAACUGGGCGGACCACCCACUGUAUUUUUGGUUAGUUAGUUAGCUAUUGUUAAAGUAGGCUAGUCUAGCUUAGGGGUGUUUUUGAAUACUUAUUGUUUCUUUCCUUGGGUCCAGCUCAGCCCCUUUUCCUGCUCCCCCCAUUACCGUGUGUUUACAAAUAAACCUUGAGUUUGACGGUA